This 408-nucleotide ribosomal RNA is filed under the name Dactylopius tomentosus. RNAcentral's name for it is "partial small subunit ribosomal RNA". Lineage: Eukaryota; Metazoa; Arthropoda; Insecta; Hemiptera; Dactylopiidae. The record is from RNAcentral.
UUAAAAUUCAAAACAUUUAAAUUCACUAAUUUUAAUUAAAAUUUAAUUUGCAUAUUGAUCUAUUAUUUUGUUAUUUAUAAAACUAAUAAAUUACAUUUAAAUAAUCUAUUAACAACUAUAUACAAAAAUUAAUUUUAAUUUUAAGAAAAGAGCAACUUCUAAUUAUAAAACAAGAUUCUUUAAUAAUUAUUUACCGCCAAGAAAAUUAACUUUAAAUUUACUUUACUCAUUAACUAAAUAAAUUUUAUUAAACUUCUAGGGUAUCUAAUCCUAUUACUUAUAUUCAAUUAAAUUAAAAUAAAUUACUUAAUUUUUAAACCAACUAAUUUCACCUAAAAGAUUAAAUUAAAAUUUAUACUAAUUAUUUUAAACAAAAGUCAAUUAAUUUAACUGAUUAUGUUUAACCGC